Molecule: long non-coding RNA, 781 nt
Filed under: Androctonus crassicauda
Lineage: Eukaryota; Metazoa; Arthropoda; Arachnida; Scorpiones; Buthidae
Source: RNAcentral
AUGUAAAUGAAAAUGAAAUUGAUAACUGGCAUCUUUAAAAUAUUUUAUAAGAUGCAGAUAAUUGCAUAAAAUAAUAGGAUAUAAAGAGGAACCAUUUUGAUGUAUAGGAAAUAGUGGCUCAUAUUAUUUAAAAGACAUUGUCUCGAAAGGCUAAGGCGCUACGCCGUCAAAAGUUACUAUAGGGAUUGAUUUUGCUACAUGUUACUCAAUUUUAAUGAUUGCCAAGCUCCGGGUGGGGUUAUGUCGUCACUCCAGAGUAUACAAGCUGAUCAAACUUGGCCAACUCGGCCAGCCUUCUCUCUCGGCCCUUCGUUCGCGGUGUUGCAGAAUAACUGGAAAUUAGCAGAGAAAGGCAGUGUCAAACAAUUAGUUCAAAAUUUCAGAGAAAAAACAAUAUAUAACAUGCAAAUCAAGAUCAAGCCGAUCCUCAUUGUAGCGGAGAACUGCCGCUACAAGAACCACUAGGAUCAGCUCGGUCGCAGCACCGUCAACCGAUCGCGCCGCAAAUUUCUUGCAACGUGUCCACUACACUAACUAUAUUUCAGACUAAUUUCAGUCCUAGUUACGGUGAAAAGCAUUCGAAGCGCAUACCUUUCCCUAACGUUGUCUAAAACGAUCGCAGACGAUCGAGAAAGGGGUUGGAGAUUUCCGUUUCGUGUACGAUGCCAUACGAGAAAUGCCGCAGAUCGUGGGGACGAUAUCGACUGAUCGGCGGCCGAAUGACAGCGUGGUAAUGCGUUGGCGUGCCAUGUAGAAAGACCCGAGUUCGCGUCCGAGGUCU